AUGGUGCAAAUGCCCAGAAAAUACUCAACAGAAUGGUCCUUUGGUCUUACAGACAGCACUGGACUCGGGGUCAGAAUUCAGAUUCUGCCCAAAGUGGCUUGCGACCUUCAGCAAGGUCACAGAAAUUCUUGGAACCUCAGUUUCUUCAUGUGUCCUAAGAGAGGCCUCCUGGGGUGGCUGCGAACAUCUGAUGUGCACACAAGUUUAGAAGACACCGCCACUCCAGAGGAAGAUGAGGAGAGGAAGGAGAAGACCUGGUCCCCCAGCCAUUGUGCAGAGGUGAGAGACCGCAGUGAGAUCUCCAAGAUCCGAAGUUGUUUGGCUGAUCCUGGAGAGCAGUGUAAACACCGUCUCUGGUGGUGGAAGGGCCAGGUCCACCUGCACGUCCCGUCUCUCCUUCCGCUGAAGUGGCCGACACAGUCUGCAGCCCCCACCGGCCCUGACCCAGGGAGCACGAGGAUGGCAUCCGCCUUCCGUGUCACCACGCCGAGCACACAGUAGGCCCUGAGGAGCUGCGUGCUUGCCGGACAGGUGGCCGAAUGAAUAACGGAACGAGAGCAUGGACCAUGAGCCCAGACCAGCUUCCCUCCUCCACGAAUCCAAAUGUAUAAAGAGCACCCGGCAAGUC
RNAcentral lists this long non-coding RNA (628 nucleotides) under Fukomys damarensis (Damara mole-rat). RNAcentral describes it as "lncRNA (ENSFDAG00000027530.1)". Lineage: Eukaryota; Metazoa; Chordata; Mammalia; Rodentia; Bathyergidae. The record is from RNAcentral.